RNAcentral lists this ribosomal RNA (253 nucleotides) under uncultured bacterium. RNAcentral describes it as "partial 16S ribosomal RNA". It matches the Rfam family "Bacterial small subunit ribosomal RNA", at positions 524 to 776 of the family's 1533-position model. The record is from RNAcentral.
UACGGAGGGUGCGAGCGUUAAUCGGAAUUACUGGGCGUAAAGGGCACGCAGGCGGGCUUUUAAGUGAGAUGUGAAAGCCCCGGGCUUAACCUGGGAAUAGCAUUUCAGACUGGGAGGCUAGAGUACUGUAGGGGGGGGUAGAAUUCCAUGUGUAGCGGUGAAAUGCGUAGAGAUGUGGAGGAAUACCGAUGGCGAAGGCAGCCCCUUGGACAUAGACUGACGCUCAUGUGCGAAAGCGUGGGGAGCAAACAGG